CCUACGGGGUGCAGCAGUGGGGAAUAUUGCACAAUGGGGGAAACCCUGAUGCAGCGACGCCGCGUGAGUGAAGAAGCAUUUCGGUACGUAAAGCUCUAUCAGCAGGGAAGAAGCAAGACGGUACCUGACUAAGAAGCCCCGGCUAACUACGUGCCAGCAGCCGCGGUAAUACGUAGGGGGCAAGCGUUAUCCGGAUUUACUGGGUGUAAAGGGAGCGCAGACGGUAUGGCAAGUCAGAAGUGAAAGCCCAGGGCUUAACCCCGGGACUGCUUUGGAAACUGUUAGGCUGGAGUGCAGGAGAGGUAGGUGGAAUUCCUGGUGUAGCGGUGAAAUGCGUAGAUAUUAGGAGGAACACCAGUGGCGAAGGCGGCUUGCUGGACAGUAACUGACGUUGAGGCUCGAAAGCGUGGGGAGCAAACAGGAUUAGAUACCCCUGUAGUC
Molecule: ribosomal RNA, 441 nt
Filed under: uncultured bacterium
Lineage: Bacteria
Description: partial 16S ribosomal RNA
Rfam family: Bacterial small subunit ribosomal RNA
Source: RNAcentral